RNAcentral lists this ribosomal RNA (207 nucleotides) under uncultured bacterium. RNAcentral describes it as "partial 16S ribosomal RNA". It matches the Rfam family "Bacterial small subunit ribosomal RNA", at positions 568 to 774 of the family's 1533-position model. The record is from RNAcentral.
UGCGUAGGCGGUUCAUUAAGUCGGUUGUGAAAUCCCUGGGCUUAACCUGGGAACUGCAGUCGAUACUGGUGAACUAGAGUGCGGUAGAGGGUGGCGGAACUCCGGGUGUAGCGGUGAAAUGCGUAGAUAUCCGGAAGAACACCGAUGGCGAAGGCAACCACCUGGGCCUGCACUGACGCUGAGGUACGAAAGCGUGGGGAGCAAACA